GAUGAAGAACGCAGCGAAAUGCGAUAAGUAAUGUGAAUUGCAGAAUUCAGUGAAUCAUCGAAUCUUUGAACGCACAUUGCGCCCCCUGGUAUUCCGGGGGGCAUGCCUGUCCGAGCGUCAUUACAAACCUCAAGCUCAGCUUGGUAUUGGGCCCCGCCGACCCGGCGGGCCCUAAAGUCAGUGGCGGUGCCGUCCGGCUCCGAGCGUAGUAAUUCUUCUCGCUCUGGAGGUCCGGUCGUGUGCUCGCCAGCAACCCCCAAUUUUUUUCAGGUUGACCUCGGAUCAGGUAGGGAUACCCGCUGAACUUAAGCAUAUCAAUAAGCGGAGGA
This 329-nucleotide unclassified non-coding RNA is filed under the name soil metagenome. RNAcentral's name for it is "partial contains 5.8S ribosomal RNA, internal transcribed spacer 2, and large subunit ribosomal RNA". The stretch from base 1 to 120 matches the Rfam family "5.8S ribosomal RNA", at positions 35 to 154 of the family's 154-position model. The record is from RNAcentral.